Molecule: ribosomal RNA, 66 nt
Filed under: Cordyceps cateniannulata
Lineage: Eukaryota; Fungi; Ascomycota; Sordariomycetes; Hypocreales; Cordycipitaceae
Description: partial 28S ribosomal RNA
Rfam family: Eukaryotic large subunit ribosomal RNA
Source: RNAcentral
GUUGACCUCGAAUCAGGUAGGACUACCCGCUGAACUUAAGCAUAUCAAUAAGCGGAGGAAAAGAAA